Non-coding RNA from Pogona vitticeps (central bearded dragon), 731 nucleotides. The record is from RefSeq and is a predicted model, not a curated record. Lineage: Eukaryota; Metazoa; Chordata; Lepidosauria; Squamata; Agamidae.
UUGGAGCUAAAUUUUGACCUUCUGGUAAGGUAGACGACAUAUCCACUUGAGGAAAGAUACAGUCCCUCUCUGAACAUCUGCCAGAAGACAAUCCUCUCUUUGAAAGAAUCUUCCAUUUGAAGGCCUGCACAUUCCAAGACUAACAUAAGGAGAAAGAAUUACAAAAAUGGGAGUGAAGGACCCUGAAGUGGCCCAGCCAUCUUGAGCACCUGGAUGGAAGACUCAGCAGACACAGACAUCACCCCCUCAUGAAGUGAUCUGACCAUGACAAGAGGAGUGAAGGUUACUCAGUCACCCUCAGAUCUUCCUCAGCCAGUCAAGAAUACCAAGUCUCCAUGUGCAGGUGUCAGUUACCCGUUGGGACAGCCCCAUAGAUGUCAUGGUAUCCUGGAGUACCUCUGCAUGUAUGUUGAAGUCCCUGAUGAGUACAAGUCUGGUGGACCGCAACAACAUAGUGGCGACAAUGUUUUUGGCGGCGGAGGCAGCAGGACAAGGUCUUAUUGAAGAGAAAUGUCCUCCUCCAAGACAAUGGGAACUGAGUUUGUUUGGACUUGAAUUCUGGCACACAACAUGGUAUUCCAGCACCAAAUGACAAAAAGUGAUAGGGAACCAACGCUCCACCCAAAGGAGUAUUGUGUCACUCUUUAUUCCUUUCCAAAGCAAAUGCCUCUUGUGAGGCAUUUCUCAAAAGUGCUAUUGUUGAAGCUGUUGCUUUCCUCAUGAUUAAACAA